RNAcentral lists this ribosomal RNA (252 nucleotides) under uncultured bacterium. RNAcentral describes it as "partial 16S ribosomal RNA". It matches the Rfam family "Bacterial small subunit ribosomal RNA", at positions 525 to 776 of the family's 1533-position model. The record is from RNAcentral.
ACGAACCGUACGAACGUUAUUCGGAAUCACUGGGCUUAAAGAGUGCGUAGGCGGCCAAGCAAGUUGGGUGUGAAAUCCCUCGGCUCAACCGAGGAACUGCGCUCAAAACUGCUUGGCUUGAGAAAGAUAGAGGUGAGCGGAACUAAUGGUGGAGCGGUGAAAUGCGUUGAUAUCAUUAGGAACACCAGUGGCGAAAGCGGCUCACUGGGUCUUUUCUGACGCUGAGGCACGAAAGCUAGGGGAGCGAACGGG